Molecule: ribosomal RNA, 354 nt
Filed under: Euryarchaeota archaeon TMED248
Lineage: Archaea; Methanobacteriati; Methanobacteriota
Description: bacterial SSU rRNA
Rfam family: Archaeal small subunit ribosomal RNA
Source: RNAcentral
AAAUCUGGUUGAUCCUGCCAGAGGCGACCGCUUUUGGAGUUCGAUUAAGCCAUGCGAGUAGAAAGAAAUUAGAUUCUUUGCAAACUGCUCAGUAACACGUGGAUAACCUGCCCUAUGCUCCGGAAUAACCUCGGGAAACUGAGAAUAAUACCGGAUAGAUCACAACGCCUGGAACGGUGUGUGGUUCAAAGAUUACGGCAUAGGAUGGGUCUGCGGCGUAUCAGGUCGUAGGGGGUGUAAAGGACCUCCUAGCCAUCGACGCGUACGGGUGUUGGGAGACAUAGCCCGGAGAUGGAUUCUGAGACACGAAUCCAGACCCUACGGGGUGCAGCAGGCGCGAAAACUUCACACUGC